AGGAUAAACGCUGGCGGCGUGCCUAACACAUGCAAGUCGAACGUCUCUUCUUUCGGGAAGAGGAGUGGCGGACGGGUGAGGAACACGUGGGAACCUGCCCUUUAGUGAGGAAUACCGGCGAGAAAUCGCCGACAAGACCGCAUAGCCCUCUUUGAUGAGAGUCAAAGAAGGAAAGCUUCGCAAGAGGCGCUAGAGGAGGGGCCUGCGUCCGAUUAGCUAGUUGGUGGGGUAAGAGCCUACCAAGGCGUCGAUCGGUAGCUGGUCUGAGAGGACGAUCAGCCACACUGGGAUUGAGAACGGCCCAGACUCCUACGGGGGCAGCAGUGAGGAAUUUUGGACAAUGGGCGAAAGCCUGAUCCAGCAAUGCCGCGUGCAGGAAGAAGGCCUUCGGGUUGUAAACUGCUUUGUACGGAACGAAACGGUCUGCUUUAAUACAGUGGCUAAUGACGGUACCGUAAGAAUAAGCACCGGCUAACUACGUGCCAGCAGCCGC
Molecule: ribosomal RNA, 493 nt
Filed under: uncultured bacterium
Lineage: Bacteria
Description: SSU rRNA
Rfam family: Bacterial small subunit ribosomal RNA
Source: RNAcentral